GGUGAGGUAGCUCAGCUGGUAGAGCAAUGGACUGAAAAUCCAUGUGUCGGCGGUUCAAGCCCGCCUCUUACCA
Molecule: transfer RNA, 73 nt
Filed under: Chitinophagaceae bacterium
Lineage: Bacteria; Pseudomonadati; Bacteroidota; Chitinophagia; Chitinophagales; Chitinophagaceae
Description: tRNA-Phe
Rfam family: tRNA
About the family: Transfer RNA (tRNA) molecules are approximately 80 nucleotides in length. Their secondary structure includes four short double-helical elements and three loops (D, anti-codon, and T loops).
Source: RNAcentral